UAUUAGGUGACAUGACAGCGCUAAACAACUUGCGCACUAACUUGCCUGAUUAGUAAUCGAUCUGUUAUGCGGGGUCUCCCGAUUAGGUUUUUAAAAAAAUAAUUUUGAAAGAGAUUUCACUUUUAUUUGUUCAAUUUCACAAACAAUUAAGUUAUGGAAAUUGGCUAAAAGGAGAUAUUGUCUAAGACCGCUCCCGAUGGGUGACUAAAUACGACUGAGUGACUUUCGGUCGGUAACUAUUAUCAAGAGAUUUCUUACUAUGCUUACUCAGCAUCAGUGGUUAUUAAAAAGGAUGUAACAUCACUUUGCCUAACAUGGGGAUUCUGUAACAGAUCGAUUCAAACGCAGCACAUAAUAAAGACAGACUCAUGAUUCAUCACACAUGGUCCAGAGGCUGCACUGUCGAGAUGAAUCGUAAAGUGACUCGUAUAGUUCCUGAUCAGCUUGGAACAAAUGGUGGUUCAUGUGGCUUCUGAUAAAUAUUAUUAUUUGGCUUACGAUGUUCAAGUCGUCGUGGCCUAAAAUAAGACGUCCGGUGCAUUCGUAUCUAGCGAUGCAACGGUGUUCGAAUCCCGCAGGCGGGUACCAAUUUUUCUAAUGAAAUACGUACUUUACAAACGUUCACAAUUGAAUUUCAUGGUGAAGGAAUAAGAUCGUGUAAUAAAAAUCAAACCCGCAAAAUUAUAAUUUGCGCAAUUACUGGUGGUAGAACCUCUUGUGAGUCCGCACGGGUAGGUACCACAACCCGGCCUAUUUUUGCCAUGAAACAGUGAUGCGUUUCGGUUUGAAGGGUGGGGCAACCGUUGUAACUACACUGAGACCUUAGAACAUAUAUCUCAAUGUGGGCGCAUUUGCGUUGUAGAUGUCUAUGGGCUCCAGUAGCCACUUAACACCAGAUGGGCUGUGAACUAGUCCACCCACCUAAGCAAUAAAAAAAAUAUUCGCGCACUCGCUAUGAUAUGCGUUGUAUGAUCGAAUUGAGAUCUCAUGCCCUAAAGCAUAGAUGUAUAGUACAAAUGAGAUUAUCAAAUGGAAAACCGCAAGAAUGAAAUUUGCGUAAUAAAUUGCUAUACAAUUAAGAUCCUCAUGAAUAGCCCACAUCCGUCCGCUAUUGAACUUGGAUCCCUUCCCAUUUACAUCACAUAACCCGAUUUUCGGCCUAUGUCCAGUCCACUGCCUAUUAAGUUUCAGACUCUCACAGAGACAGACCUCACCACUACCCAACUAUAGGCUGUGUGAUGAUUCACCAGUUUGAGCAAUAUAAAUAUUAUGAACUAGCGGCCCGCUCCGGCUCCGCUCGGGUCUUUAACAAAAAUUUCAACGAUAUUUGACGUUGUUUUAUUUAAAAAAAUAAAAGAACACUUAUUCCGGUAUAACUAUAAUAGUUAGACAUAUGCUGUCGCUUUUGUGAAUAAUAAUGUGCUCUACAAAGUUGUAGUACAUUAUUUGAUUCUAUCAUUAAUAGUUUUCGCAGGGCACGCGAUGUAAAGAAUAUUUUAGGUAGUUUUUUUUACACCUUAGGUUAAAUUAUUGGAGUUUUACUAAGGAUCCCUAAUUUUUUAAAAAAAGAUUAUAGCUUAUGGCACUCGGGAAUAGUGUAGCUUCCAAACAGUGAAAGAAUUUUUCAAAUCGGUUCAGUAGUUUCGGAGCCUAUUCAAUACAAAGAAACAAACAAAUCUUUCCUCUUUAUAAUAUGAUGAUAGUAUAGAUAAGCGUCAUAUAUGCAUAAUAUAUUGCGUAUGCAUGUUAUUGAAAUCUAAAAAACAAUAAAUUCAAUUCAAAGCGUUAAUGUCUUCAAAGUUGUUACUGUCGUUAAUACGGAGCCUGCUACAAACUGCUGGCGAUUAGCCGUAAUUACUGAAGGAUCACAGUUAAAUUUAACUGUUCCCGUUAACUCGACAGGUGCUUUGAACUCGCCGGCAUCAAUUACUUUGGAUCGUUACGUUUGUUUCCGCUUUCGUGCAGUCGAAGAUUGUAAAUUAAGCAGUUUUUUUUGUCCUUAUUAAACUCUUAAAAUUUGCUCGUAACAUAAUUACGCCAAAUACUGAUGGUAGGACCUCUUGUGAGUCCGCACGGGUAGGUAUCACCACCCUGCCUAUUUCUGCCGUGAAGCAGUAAUGCUUUUCGGUUUGAAGGGUGGGGCAGCCGUUGUAACUAUACUGUGACCCUUAGAACUUAUUUCAAGGUGGGUGGCGCAUUUACGUUGUAGAUGUCUAUGGGCUCCAGUAAUCACUUAACACCAGGUGGGCUGCGAGGUCGUCCACCCAUCUAGGCAAUAAAAAAAAUAGGAAAGAAAAAAACUUUUGAAAUUAGAGUACAAAAAAACUUAUUAGAAUUUGCAAUGCUGAUUGAUGAGGAUGUUUGUUUGAUAUCGUAUUUCGAAAUUACGGAGGCAAAGCGCUUUACAGGACCCCAGAUGUUUCAAUGUUAAGACAUUUGAUUAUUUAACGGAAGAUAUAAUAAUGAUAAUGAAUGGGAACAAAUCACGCACGGCCAUUCAGCCCCAAUUUAGCAUUCGCUGUGUUAUGGGUACCAAAGAUUGAUAAACAUGCUUAUAUACAUUUAAAUAUAUACAAAUAUAGAUAAUAGACAUCCAGACAAAAGAGCGAAUAAAUCUGUUCAUCACACAAUGUUUGCCCGAUCUGGGAAUCGAACCUAUAACCCUUGGCGUACCAGUCAGGGCGGCGGACCACUGAACCAAUGAGUUGGUCAAAUUAGAUGUGAUUGUUAAAAUCAGUGAGUAGCUAGUGUAAUUUUUUAUACAAGUUAAUCUGAACUUAAAUUUUAAUCAUGAAAGGAGACUGAAACGAUUACAUACAUUUUUGGGCCCGAAUGUAACGUGAUGAAACUAAUAUGAAUUAAUAGAUUCAGAUUUAUCAGUACUUUGCUGAAAAUUAUAAAAGUUUUCUCAAUCUGAGAGCCGAGUUAAUAAAGAUUUAGUAAAAGUUAGGUUAUAUGAGUCGACUAUUAUCAAAGCCGGCAAUCUGACUUUUGGACAAUGAUUGGUAAAUCAGAAAAACGAAUUAUUGACUUUGUAUUCCAUUGGCAGUCACAAAACUCUUCGGAACGACAUCUUAGAUAAAUAACAGGUUAUCUAUUAACCUUUAUUUAAUGCAGGUUUUGAACCGUAUUCUUUGAAGGAGACGAUUAUAUUCAAAUCAAUCUGUAUUGACAUAUCAAUAAUUUUUUUUUGUCCAAAUGCACAGAUUGCCACCUUUGAUAAUAGACGACUCAGAUACACACUCAAAACGCGUCGAAGAUACAAAACGAGUAGAGCAGAAAAAACCAACAAGCGCCAAAAAAUAAUUGUAUAAUCUAUGAACAAACGUCAUGUCAGCUUACUGUCAAAGCUGUCAUCAAAAAUACAAUCGAUUUUAAUCGAUUUGAAAUCGAUAAUCAGAUUACUUUGUUAAGUAUUAUUAGAUUUUUUCUUCAUUUAUGUAUAUAAUCGCAAUUAAAUCCGGCGUAUACCGCACUUGUAUACAACAAGUAUAAAUCGCUCAUUUAAUUACUUUGCAUUAAUUACCUAGUGCAAUGUUUUUCUUUUUAUAAUCCUGUAAUCGAUUAAUUAAAUCGAUCACACCUUUAAACCGACAAAAACUAACUUUCUCAUUUUUCUCCGGUCCCAGAAAGGGGAUUGAGGUGAUUUUUUAUAUUCUUAUAUAAAAAAAUAUGACAAAUUUUUUAGACUACAUUCCAAGUUAUUACAUUUUUGGCCCACGAUUAUCCGUCUCCUUUCAAGUUUAAUUAAAUACCAAUUUAAAUUUAACUAACAGCGAAUAAAUACAACGUAAUAAAUUAUUAUAUGAAUGCUUUAUCUUUAAACUGAUAUGAUUUAAAAAUAACUAGAGGUCCCGCAGUAGUCGAAAUUCGACUAUAAUUAAUUGGAAUUGUAAGUUUGUACACUAUUAUGAUUGUAUUUUAUACUUCUUAAAUCAAAAAUUUCGCCAAGACUACACUAUAAAAAAUAUUAACAAAGACAAACAAUAUUUAAUCUAUUCUCAAUUUGACAACAGAUGUCAAGAACAAAAGUUUGACAAUAAAUAGUAUGCAUGCGUGUGUGCGUCAAAUACAUGGUAUGUAGUGUGUGUAAUCUUUUCUUUAUUCAUUUAAUGUAUCUUUUAUGCAUUAUUUAAAAAAAAAAAUUAGCAUUGUGCACUUCUUCUCUAUAUUCUCUAUAAGUGUGGAAAAUUUCAUACUCCUCCGUCCGCGCAAUUUUCGUAAAAAGGGAUACAAAGUUUUUGCUUCACGUAUUAAUUUAUAGAAGAUAUUAUUGAAAUGUCUUUGAGAAUUACGUUCUGCAAAAUGAAGUUGUAUGUUGCCAAGUAGAUAAUGUUACAACAAAAAAUUUAAAUCAUUAUGCAUUGUGGAUAAACUAAUAAAGUUCAUUGUAUCAUUUUAA
Molecule: long non-coding RNA, 4402 nt
Organism: Bombyx mori (domestic silkworm)
Lineage: Eukaryota; Metazoa; Arthropoda; Insecta; Lepidoptera; Bombycidae
Exons: 2
Source: RefSeq, a predicted model, not a curated record